UUUUGUAUAAUGGGUCAGCGACUUAUAUUCUGUAGCAAGGUUAACCGAAUAGGGGAGCCGAAGGGAAACCGAGUCUUAACUGGGCGUUAAGUUGCAGGGUAUAGACCCGAAACCCGGUGAUCUAGCCAUGGGCAGGUUGAAGGUUGGGUAACACUAACUGGAGGACCGAACCGACUAAUGUUGAAAAAUUAGCGGAUGACUUGUGGCUGGGGGUGAAAGGCCAAUCAAACCGGGAGAUAGCUGGUUCUCCCCGAAAGCUAUUUAGGUAGCGCCUCGUGAAUUCAUCUCCGGGGGUAGAGCACUGUUUCGGCAAGGGGGUCAUCCCGACUUACCAACCCGAUGCAAACUGCGAAUACCGGAGAAUGUUAUCACGGGAGACACACGGCGGGUGCUAACGUCCGUCGUGAAGAGGGAAACAACCCAGACCGCCAGCUAAGGUCCCAAAGUCAUGGUUAAGUGGGAAACGAUGUGGGAAGGCCCAGACAGCCAGGAUGUUGGCUUAGAAGCAGCCAUCAUUUAAAGAAAGCGUAAUAGCUCACUGGUCGAGUCGGCCUGCGCGGAAGAUGUAACGGGGCUAAACCAUGCACCGAAGCUGCGGCAGCGACACUAUGUGUUGUUGGGUAGGGGAGCGU
This 632-nucleotide ribosomal RNA is filed under the name Escherichia coli. RNAcentral's name for it is "partial 23S ribosomal RNA". It matches the Rfam family "Bacterial large subunit ribosomal RNA", at positions 606 to 1239 of the family's 2925-position model. The record is from RNAcentral. Lineage: Bacteria; Pseudomonadati; Pseudomonadota; Gammaproteobacteria; Enterobacterales; Enterobacteriaceae.